RNAcentral lists this ribosomal RNA (490 nucleotides) under marine sediment bacterium ISA-6389. Its description in RNAcentral is "bacterial SSU rRNA". It matches the Rfam family "Bacterial small subunit ribosomal RNA", at positions 37 to 524 of the family's 1533-position model. The record is from RNAcentral.
UAGCGGCAGGCUUAACACAUGCAAGUCGAGGGGUAACAGGGUGCUUGCACCGCUGACGACCGGCGAACGGGUGCGUAACGCGUAUGCAAUCUGCCUUGUACAGGAGGAUAGCCUUUAGAAAUGAAGAUUAAUACUCCAUAAUGUUGGGAAGUGGCAUCACUAUCUAACUAAAGAUUUAUCGGUACAAGAUGAGCAUGCGUCCUAUUAGCUAGAUGGUAAGGUAACGGCUUACCAUGGCAACGAUAGGUAGGGGGUCUGAGAGGAUUAUCCCCCACACUGGUACUGAGACACGGACCAGACUCCUACGGGAGGCAGCAGUGAGGAAUAUUGGUCAAUGGAGGCAACUCUGAACCAGCCAUGCCGCGUGCAGGAAGACUGCCCUAUGGGUUGUAAACUGCUUUUAUACAGGAAGAAACAGUCGUACGUGUACGGCCUUGACGGUACUGUAAGAAUAAGCACCGGCUAACUCCGUGCCAGCAGCCGCGGUAAU